This 216-nucleotide ribosomal RNA is filed under the name Glomeromycotina sp. RNAcentral's name for it is "partial small subunit ribosomal RNA". The stretch from base 40 to 216 matches the Rfam family "Eukaryotic small subunit ribosomal RNA", at positions 686 to 864 of the family's 1831-position model. The record is from RNAcentral. Lineage: Eukaryota; Fungi; Glomeromycota.
GGGUCAGUAGGUUGGUCGUGCCACCGGUACGUACUGGCCUCACUGAUUCCUCCUUCCUGAAGAACUGUAAUGCCAUUAAUUUGGUGUUGCGGGGAAACAGGACUGUUACUUUGAAAAAAUUAGAGUGUUUAAAGCAAGCUAACGCUUGAAUACAUUAGCAUGGAAUAAUGAAAUAGGACGAUCGAUCCUAUUUUGUUGGUUUCUAGGAUUGACGUG